GACGAACGCUGGCGGCGUGCUUAACACAUGCAAGUCGAACGGAAAGGCCCCUUUGGUGGUACUCGAGUGGCGCACGGGUGAGUAACACGUGAGUAACCUGCCCUUGACUUCGGGAUAACUUCAGGAAACUGGGGCUAAUACCGGAUAGGAAUCCUUGCUGCAUGGUGGGGGUUGGAAAGCUUCGGCGGUUUUGGAUGGACUCACGGCUUAUCAGCUUGUUGGUGGGGUAGUGGCUUACCAAGGCUUUGACGGGUAGCCGGCCUGAGAGGGCGACCGGCCACAUUGGGACUGAGAUACGGCCCCGACUCCUACGGGUGGGAGCAGUGGGGAAUAUUGCACAAUGGGCGGAAGCCUGAUGCAGCAACGCCGCGUGCGGGAUGACGGUCUUCGGGUUGUAAACCGAUUUCAGCAGGGGCGAAGCUUGUGGUGACGGUACCUGCAGAAGAAGCACCGGCUAACUACGUG
RNAcentral lists this ribosomal RNA (465 nucleotides) under uncultured bacterium. RNAcentral's name for it is "partial 16S ribosomal RNA". It matches the Rfam family "Bacterial small subunit ribosomal RNA", at positions 28 to 507 of the family's 1533-position model. The record is from RNAcentral.